GGCCUGUUAGCUCAUUUGGUUAGAGUGUGAUGUUGGUAACAUCAAGGUCAAGGGUUCAGAUCCCCUUACUGGCCA
Non-coding RNA from Cynocephalus volans (Philippine flying lemur), 75 nucleotides. The record is from the annotation of a RefSeq genome assembly. Lineage: Eukaryota; Metazoa; Chordata; Mammalia; Dermoptera; Cynocephalidae.